AGCGAACGCUGGCGGCAGGCCUAACACAUGCAAGUCGAACGAACCUUUCGGGGUUAGUGGCGGACGGGUGAGUAACACGUGGGAACGUGCCUUUAGGUUCGGAAUAACUCAGGGAAACUUGUGCUAAUACCGAAUGUGCCCUUCGGGGGAAAGAUUUAUCGCCUUUCGAGCGGCCCGCGUCUGAUUAGCUAGUUGGUUGAGGUAAUGGCUCACCAAGGCGACGAUCAGUAGCUGGUCUGAGAGGAUGAUCAGCCACAUUGGGACUGAGACACGGCCCAAACUCCUACGGGGGGCAGCAGUGGGGAAUCUUGCGCAAUGGGCGAAAGCCUGACGCAGCCAUGCCGCGUGAAUGAUGAAGGUCUUAGGAUUGUAAAAUUCUUUCACCGGGGACGAUAAUGACGGUACCCGGAGAAGAAGCCCCGGCUAACUUCGUG
Molecule: ribosomal RNA, 434 nt
Filed under: uncultured bacterium
Lineage: Bacteria
Description: partial 16S ribosomal RNA
Rfam family: Bacterial small subunit ribosomal RNA
Source: RNAcentral